RNAcentral lists this ribosomal RNA (253 nucleotides) under uncultured bacterium. Its description in RNAcentral is "partial 16S ribosomal RNA". It matches the Rfam family "Bacterial small subunit ribosomal RNA", at positions 524 to 776 of the family's 1533-position model. The record is from RNAcentral.
UACGUAGGGGGCAAGCGUUGUCCGGAAUCAUUGGGCGUAAAGAGCGCGUAGGCGGCCCUGUAAGUCCGCUGUGAAAGUCAAGGGCUCAACCCUUGGAUGCCGGUGGAUACUGCAGGGCUAGAGUCCGGAAGAGGCGAGUGGAAUUCCUGGUGUAGCGGUGAAAUGCGUAGAGAUCCGGAGGAACACCAGUGGCGAAGGCGACACGCUGGGCCGUACCUGACGCUAAAGCGCGACAGCAUGGGGAGCAAACGGG